GUUAUUCUUUUGACUUACCUAUCUUGUGUAACUUAAUAAUGGAUAGUUAAUUAAAUAAUUGUUAUACAUCCCUUUCAUAAUUAGUCCGCUUGUAAGCGUUAUUGUUAUACCAUGAGUUAUCUAUUGAACAUGUAAAAUCAGUAAAUUCAAAUUUAACUCAAUAAGUGGAAAAAAGUGCAGUUGUCAUGAACUUCUCAAGCGAGCUAUCGGAAGACAUUUUGGUGAAGCUGCAAAUAGCAUAUUAAUCAACUUCCAAUUUGUUAAUUGUUGUAACAAGAAUAUUUUGUUGAUUUAUGGCAUGAACUUCAGAUUAGAUUAUAGUUAGAACUUCAAUUCUAUUGAUCUAAUGAGUUGUUGAAUUGAAUUUUGUGGCAGCAUCUUCGAAGAAAUUGCCACGUGGACCAGGACGUGCUCAAGAGGAUAGAUAGCUGACACAUCUUUAUAUAUGCUUUGGCUGUUGCAGUUGCAUGUGCAUCCUUUGGUUGAGUGUUGAUUUCACUUACCAACAAAUUUUGUCAUGUAGAUAUCAGUCUCAUUCUUUUGUAAUAAGUGACAUCUAAUUCAAUUUUAUUAGCACUGCUAGUUUAGUAUUGUAAAAAAUUUUUAGUGCAGUGCUUUAAUGUAGAAAAUAUUCAGAGCAACUUGUAUUUACUGCUCAUGGUUGUACAGAUUCAUUGAAUCUGGCAUAUGCCAUUCAAUAAUCUCUUAAAUUCGGUUUUUGGUA
Molecule: non-coding RNA, 724 nt
Organism: Cajanus cajan (pigeon pea)
Lineage: Eukaryota; Viridiplantae; Streptophyta; Magnoliopsida; Fabales; Fabaceae
Source: RefSeq, a predicted model, not a curated record